UAGGGAAUCUUCCGCAAUGGGCGAAAGCCUGACGGAGCAACGCCGCGUGAGUGAUGAAGGUCUUCGGAUCGUAAAACUCUGUUAUUAGGGAAGAACAUACGUGUAAGUAACUAUGCACGUCUUGACGGUACCUAAUCAGAAAGCCACGGCUAACUACGUGCCAGCAGCCGCGGUAAUACGUAGGUGGCAAGCGUUAUCCGGAAUUAUUGGGUGUAAAGCGCGCGUAGGCGGUUUUUUAAGUCUGAUGUGAAAGCCCACGGCUCAACCGUGGAGGGUCAUUGGAAACUGGAAAACUUGAGUGCAGAAGAGGAAAGUGGAAUUCCAUGUGUAGCGGUGAAAUGCGCAGAGAUAUGGAGGAACACCAGUGGCGAAGGCGACUUUCUGGUCUGUAACUGACGCUGAUGUGCGAAAGCGUGGGGAUCAAACAGGAUUAGAUACCCUGGUAGUCCACGCCGUAAACGAUGAGUGCUAAGUGUUAGGGGGUUUCCGCCCCUUAGUGCUGCAGCUAACGCAUUAAGCACUCCGUCUGGGGAGUACGACCGCAAGGUUG
This 550-nucleotide ribosomal RNA is filed under the name uncultured bacterium. RNAcentral's name for it is "bacterial SSU rRNA". It matches the Rfam family "Bacterial small subunit ribosomal RNA", at positions 355 to 896 of the family's 1533-position model. The record is from RNAcentral.